RNAcentral lists this transfer RNA (71 nucleotides) under Candidatus Anderseniibacteriota bacterium. RNAcentral describes it as "tRNA-Pro". It matches the Rfam family "tRNA". Rfam says of the family: Transfer RNA (tRNA) molecules are approximately 80 nucleotides in length. Their secondary structure includes four short double-helical elements and three loops (D, anti-codon, and T loops). Lineage: Bacteria; Candidatus Anderseniibacteriota. The record is from RNAcentral.
CGGGAUGUAGUAUAGUGGUAGUACGUAUGGCUGGGGGUCAUAAAGCCCGGAUUCAAUUUCCGGCAUCCCGA